GGCCAGAUGGGGCUAUCUGAAGAUGAACAGAAAGCAUCCCAACAACAUAGGCUCAGCAUUUAUGGUGGAACAGAUGUGGACAGAGGCACCAUAAACUCAAAUGAUGUUGGUAUUCGCACAUGUGGAUCCCAAUUAGAGGGUAUGGGCUGUUGCCAGGCAAAUGGAAAUGUCUCAUGUUGUCAGACCACUCAACCACCAGUUGAUGCAGACAAUUUCAAUCUCAACCAAGAGAACGCUGAGUUUACAACCGAAAAGAAGAGCAGCUUCAAGAGACAAGUUUCUCGAAGUAGCAGUGGCAAAGGGACUCGUUCUCGCAAGGUGUGCUCAAUGCCUACUUGGUACGAGAGCUGGGAGCGUGAAGAUACGUAUGCAGUUCUUGCUGUUGUUGGUGCUGCCAUAUCAGUUGCCUAUGCCUUCAACUGCUACAGACAGCUGAAGUAAUAUUAUUUAUAAAGAAGUUCACAUUUGAUUUCAUUGUUGGUUAAAAACAAUUAUGUGCUUUGUCUAAUGUAAAUUUAGGUUAUUGCAUGUGUGUAAGUCACUUGCAAUGAAGUCUAGAAUUUGAUUUACUUGGGGGGAUAACAUUUAUGCCAAAUAGUGUUGUAAUGAUAGACUAUUGGUUCUGUAAAUUUAGGAGCCUUCUUUUGUUUGCAUGUUUCCAACACUUCCUGGUGUCUGAAGUGUUUGUUUGAUCUUUGAAUCUGUUGGCUCUUAUUAUUAAAGGAAA
This 727-nucleotide unclassified non-coding RNA is filed under the name Hevea brasiliensis (rubber tree). Lineage: Eukaryota; Viridiplantae; Streptophyta; Magnoliopsida; Malpighiales; Euphorbiaceae. The record is from RNAcentral.